CGCCCCCACUUCUCCCUAAGGCGAACCAAAGGGUAUCCGCGGGACGCCUGCCCAGCUCUCGCCAGGACUCACUACAAUCCAUCAUUCAAAAGCUCGAAAUACUUUAAGUAACCUCAAUACAUAAUUAAAGUAUUUCAAAUAUCUCACACUUACAAUUAUGCAGCUUUCAAGCUUAAAUACAACCCAACGGAAAAGGGUAUAAUAGCCAUCCGUUAUAAUAUAACUUAAAGUCUCCAAAAGAAAACAAUCUAGUACUACUCACGAGCACCCUUGGUCUCGAACCCUGUAAAAGAAAACCACAACGUGGGAUGAGCUACACAGCCCAGUGAGGUUUCAAGACACUCUAACAGUUCAAAUAAAUCAAGCAAGUUGGGUAUAUCAUAUGCAUGGUUCAAGGUUGUACAGUGGCAUGUUAUCAUGAGGUGAUAAUCAUUGUACGAGUAAUUUGAGACAUUUAUCAUGGUAUGAGACAUUUAUCAUGAGACAGGUAUCAUGGUAUGAGUACAUUGGUCAGGUAACAGGUAUGGAGCAUAUCACAGGCAUAGCUCAGGAUUUCAUGUUGGCAUUUUAGCACGAAACAAUUAUCAUGAUACAAGGUAAACAUAUACGGUAGGAUACGGUGUUCCAGUGGAACUCUGUCGGUCAUCUGCACCUUAUGACUUCCGGAUCCCCUCGGUUUGACUGGCCAUCACCUUAUCCCUCCAGUGGUAAUACUCGAGUAUACCGAAACGGUGGCCCAGGGUUCCAACCUACCCGACCGAGCCCAGUCCUGGCUCGAGUAGGUCAGUAACCAAGGGCAGGGCCCAAGUUCAACUUAGAGCUUACAACAUGCACAGGUAACCAAGUAAUUCGACCAAAGGUAAAAUUCAUCAUUUGAGUAGGUCGAGUGAGGUAAAGUACACACUCGCCUAACAAUGGUGGACAACUUCAUAUAACAUAUGAUUCAUGAUAAUCAAGUAAUCAAGUGGAUACUUAGCACGUAAGCAAUACAAGUUGAUUUCAUAGAAGCAUGUAAUUCACGGAUAUCAAAUAAUCAUGUGGAUUGGAAAUCAUGUGAGCAAAUAGUCAAGUAAUCAGGUAGUCAUGUGGGUUGGUAAACGGUUCACGGUUAACGGUUAACGGUUGACGGUUCACGGUUAAUUGAUCUGCAUUUGCCAUAUUAAUAGGCCAUCAUUGGCCGUUAUCCCAUUUUUAUCAUAUGAGAGUCGAGGAGAUUCACUUCAAUGACUUUAUGUCCAACACUAGGCAAGCGCAAGCAACUAGUCGAGGGAUUCACACAACGACGUCACAACACCUGAGGUAUUCAUGAAAACAUUUCACAUAAGUCACCCCUCGAAAGGCUAGUGUGAUAAAAUACACACUGCUUACUUCGAUGGAUCAGAAAUCAUUUUUCCAAUUAUCACAUAUCAAGUCACGAAAACACUUUAAUCAAGUAAGCUAGGCAAGCAAUCUAGCAAGCUAGGCAUGUAUCGAGUUCAUAUGUUCAUUUGAUAUGGUUAAUCAUUUAACUAAUUCAUGUCGAUGUGCACUGCAAGUAUACAUUAUUUAUAUAGGCAUGAGCAUUGUAAAUACUUAACACAUAGUACUUAGCACUUAAUAAUCAUGAAUAAUCAUGUCCUAGACUUAUUAAAUUACGUAUUCCUUUGGAAAGCUUGAUACCGUUGGGAACUUCUUCAAAAGCACUAAAAGUUCCUAGAAGAUACUUUUCCAUGAUUCCAAACGGAAGGUAUUCAAAAAUUGACUCAAGGUUGCUGCUUUGGACCAUUAAGACAGUUUCGGGGUUGGUUUUUGACCAACUUUGAAAAUCCGGCAAAAUUCACACAAUACGAACUAGCCUCCGAAAUUUAGAACUCAAUUAGAGCUACAAUCAAAGUUUAAAAUGAAACAAAUGGAACAAGAAUCAAAGUUUUGAGCGCCAAGAUAUAGUAGCUCAAAGUUGGUAACUUGCAUUACCAAGACAAAUUUAAGUUGGUUUUUGGCCAACUUUGGAAAUUCGGCAAAAUUCAUUUGUUUUGAACUAACCUUUGAAAUUUGGAAAUUAAUUAGUGUUGCAAUCCAAGAGUAUAACAAAAUAAGCGGAAUGAGAAACGGAGUUUCGAGCACCAGGAUAUGGUAAUUCAAAAUUAGUGAAAAUGUGAAACUGUUACGUAAAUUCCAGGUUUAAUUCACAACUUUGGGACUUUGAUUGAACAUUGAAAUGGACUCGGAAUGGCAUCAAAUUUGGCAGUAUUAUCCUACCAUAUAAGGGCUAUUUCUCUACCAAAUUUCGUAGGAAAAUUCAUUCGUAAAGUUGGUUAACGAAAUCACUAAAGUCCCAAGAAGUUCCUCGGCAAAUCUGCCUUGGACUUCCAUUUUUCCAUUUUCAAAAUGUUUGGCCAAUAAAACACCUCAAACACGGUUCAUUUCAGUAGAUAAUGUCUAAGGUACAUUUGAUAGGUGAUUUAUACCAAGAAGCUUCAGAAAACAAGUCCCAAAUCAUUGUUAGUUACAAAUCUGUCCAAGAGGAAAAUUCUAUCACUGUAGCAGUUUCAAACAUUGGCCACAACUCACUCAAUUUAACUUGGAAUUGGGCGUGGUUAAUGGCGUUGGAAAGCUCUCUCAUAAAUCUAAAUUUUCUCAGAAGAAACCAUUUUCAAAUUCCAUUCAGAAACAGCUCGUUUUUGAGCAUCAAGAAACAAUUUCUGUCCUGUCUCCUGGAGAGCAACGAAACAGGACAGUGAUUUUCAAUCGAAUGGUGUGGCUCACUCAAGUGGAACCAGAAUGUAAAAUUGGUACCAAUGGAAAGCUGGGAAUGUCUAGUUUCCAGUGCCAUAAACGGCACUUGAUUUUGACAUUGGAGCAAAGAGUUAUGGUCGAUACAAAAUGACUGCCUGGCCAAUACGGGAUUCAUUUUCCAGUUUUGCUGACUUUGGAAAUCAACUCAUUUGACCAACCAAAUCAUGUUAUUUUUCGAUGCAAUUUUGUACACACUCACAAUAACAUGUAAAAAACAUAAUCAAGUCAUUAGAACCUCAAAAUGUUGCACAAAAAUGGUCGGACAAGGCAGGGGUAAAACGGUCACUUUUUACUCCAUGCACUCCUUGAAGUUUCUACUAGUUAUACACCAUUAAUCUACCAUUUUGAGCACUAAACCAACAUUAAAUCCAUCAUCAAGCAUGAUAUCAGUCCCCAAGACAAAGGUGGGAGUUCAUAGAGCCCACCCAUUUCAUUUUACACCAUAAACAAAGCUACCCACAUGAUUAUAUAACCGUAUAUGUGCAAUAUAUCUUACAAAAACUAAGAUCUAUGGGUUGGAUGAUUUGCUACCUUCUUAGAUGACUAGAUCAGAAAUUUUUGGUCACUUUGAGCCUCAAGAAAACCGUGGAAAUGAAGCUCCUCUCCUUGCCUAGAUGAAUCUCCAAGUUGUUGUGAGUUUGUG
Molecule: long non-coding RNA, 3418 nt
Filed under: Coffea arabica (coffee)
Lineage: Eukaryota; Viridiplantae; Streptophyta; Magnoliopsida; Gentianales; Rubiaceae
Description: long non-coding RNA (CARA_LNC005617)
Source: RNAcentral